AGAUUGAACGCUGGCGGCAUGCCUUACACAUGCAAGUCGAACGGCAGCACGGGAGCAAUCCUGGUGGCGAGUGGCGAACGGGUGAGUAAUACAUCGGAACGUGCCCAGUAGUGGGGGAUAGCCCGGCGAAAGCCGGAUUAAUACCGCAUACGACCUAGGGGUGAAAGCGGGGGAUCGCAAGACCUCGCGCUAUCGGAGCGGCCGAUGUCAGAUUAGCUAGUUGGUAGGGUAAAAGCCUACCAAGGCGACGAUCUGUAGCUGGUCUGAGAGGACGACCAGCCACACUGGGACUGAGACACGGCCCAGACUCCUACGGGAGGCAGCAGUGGGAAUUUGGACAAUGGGCGCAAGCCUGAUCCAGCCAUGCCGCGUGCGGGAAGAAGGCCUUGGUGUAAACCGCUUUUGUCAGGUAAGAAACGCUACCGAAUUAACUACCGUCGGAGUAAUGAACGUACCGUAGAAAGAAUAAGCACCGGACUAACUACGUAGCCAAGCAGCCGCGGUAACU
This 508-nucleotide ribosomal RNA is filed under the name uncultured soil bacterium. RNAcentral's name for it is "bacterial SSU rRNA". It matches the Rfam family "Bacterial small subunit ribosomal RNA", at positions 26 to 525 of the family's 1533-position model. The record is from RNAcentral.